This is a long non-coding RNA of Bufo gargarizans (Asiatic toad), 1113 nucleotides long. RefSeq lists it as uncharacterized. NCBI's taxonomy places the organism in Eukaryota, Metazoa, Chordata, Amphibia, Anura, Bufonidae. The transcript has 4 exons. The record is from RefSeq and is a predicted model, not a curated record.
AUAACACAGGUGUAUUUCCCCAGGAUAAAUGGUGCAAACGUAUACCAUCUGUAGGACCUGCAUUGAGGAGAAGGUUGUCUGUGUCGGGGCCCUUCAAAAAACUAAGAUCUGAAAACUGGACUGUCCUGCUCUCCUUGUAAAGCCCAAAAGUCUCAUCUAGCAGAAACAGUAAGCGGUGGAGAGAGAAUUAUAAAAGUUAGAGGAUGAAGACCUAAUCCUGGACUGUAGCUUUGAAUGGUUUGUGAUGCUGGAGGACUCCUAUAAGAACGUGUUUAUCAUGGAUAUUCCCAAGAAAUACUGUGGACAGCCUGGAAGAACCGGAGGACUCCGAUGUUGGUGGAGAUGAAACUCCACUUGUGUUUUCACCCGAACCAAGUCCGGCACCCACGCCAGCUGCAGAGCCCUCUCAACCGGCCAUGCCAAGUGGAGUGCAGACAGAAGGGAGUCCUCAGACAUCACCGUAGCGUCCUGCCAGGACAAGGAGGAGUGGCCACCAGUCUUCCUCUGGGCUAGUAACUAGGGAAAUGAUUGAUGCCCGGGUUAUUGAGUUCCUAGCCAAGAGGAGGAGUGAGUGCCAAGAGGAAGCAUUGCGCCCUUAUUGCGUGGUGAACCAAAAUCAAGACAUAAUUUAUGUGUAGCCGGAGUGGCAAUAGUCUUUGAACUGUUUUCUGUGGAAAACCCAGGAGAUAUACUCUCCCAAUUAAAUCAUUUGCGUCUGCAAAACAUGCUGCAACACUCCCACCAUGCCACCAGCUACCUACCACAACCACCCCAUGGCCAACCUAGUUCUGGCCAUCCUUUUCGCUGGUCCACAGAUCCAAAACAAGCAGCAGCCCAUUCUUCUUCUGUGGGCCCUUUUCCAUCAGAGGCCCAACGACCUGAGGCACGACAGGCCAUCACAUUUUCUAAACCCGGCCCGUUCAGUCGGGAAUUGUUCGAUUUGUGAAAAAAUAUGAAUAUACUGCAAUAAGUAUUUCUGUUCUUUUAUGAUCAUUUUUGGAAUACCAGAUUCAUGUGUAUUAUUGGUUUCUUUGUCAACUUUAAGAAUAGUGGGUCUCCCUAAAAAUUUAAAAAAAGAAACAGCCCUCUACACACAAAUCAACCUUUUUGGUU